Molecule: ribosomal RNA, 301 nt
Filed under: uncultured bacterium
Lineage: Bacteria
Description: partial 16S ribosomal RNA
Rfam family: Bacterial small subunit ribosomal RNA
Source: RNAcentral
CAGUAGCCACGGGAAUACGUAGGGCGCGAGCGUUGUCCGGAAUUAUUGGGCGUAAAGGACUCGUAGGCGGCUUGUCGCGUCUGCUGUGAAAAUGCGGGGCUUAACUCCGUACGUGCAGUGGGUACGGGCAGGCUAGAGUGCGGUAGGGGUGACUGGAAUUCCUGGUGUAGCGGUGGAAUGCGCAGAUAUCAGGAGGAACACCGAUGGCGAAGGUAGGUCACUGGGCUGUUACUGACGCUGAGGAGCGAAAGCGUGGGGAGCGAACGGGAUUAGAUACCCGGGUAGUCCCUGUCUCUUAUAC